This 448-nucleotide ribosomal RNA is filed under the name uncultured bacterium. Its description in RNAcentral is "bacterial SSU rRNA". It matches the Rfam family "Bacterial small subunit ribosomal RNA", at positions 328 to 793 of the family's 1533-position model. The record is from RNAcentral.
UAGCCAGACUCCUACGGGAGGCAGCAGUGGGGAAUAUUGCACAAUGGGGGAAACCCUGAUGCAGCGACGCCGCGUGAGUGAAGAAGUAUUUCGGUAUGUAAAGCUCUAUCAGCAGGGAAGAAGAUGACGGUACCUGACCAAGAAGCCCCGACUAACUACGUGCCAGCAGCCGCGGUAAUACGUAGGGGGCAAGCGUUAUCCGGAUUUACUGGGUGUAAAGGGAGCGCAGACGGCAGUGCAAGUCUGGAGUGAAAGCCCGGGGCCCAACCCCGGAACUGCUCUGGAAACUGUGCGGCUAGAGUACUGGAGGGGCAGGCGGAAUUCCUAGUGUAGCGGUGAAAUGCGUAGAUAUUCGGAGGAACACCGGUGGCGAAGGCGGCCAACUGGGCUUUAACUGACGCUGAGGCUCGAAAGUGUGGGGAGCAAACAGGAUUAGAUACCCUUGUAU